ACCGGCAGGGGGGCGGGGCCUGGCAGAGGCAUGUGGCGGGGCCGGCGCCGCCGCGCAGGGUUCUGCAGCCCUAGCUCCGCUUCCCCAGGCAGCCGCGCCGGAGUCGGAGCGGGGGCCGGGCGCGCGGCGUGGCUGCCGCUGGCCGGAUAUGUCGCUUAGGACCCGAAGGUAAUUGGCAAAUGCUUCUCCUGCACAACCAGCUCUAGGGGAGAAUAGUGUGAUUCCAAGGCCAGCCUUCAAGAUGUGGACUGCUGUUGUUUUUUUCCUGUUGAUUUCCCUGGGCAUAUCUGAAAACAGAAUUUCCACCUUAAAGGAGAGAGGCACUCGGGUGAUACGAAUAAACCGGCUGAGCAGUGAAAAGCAUUGCAGACGCGCUUGUAGAGGCCUAUCGCUUUCAGGUAAUCGUUACUGCAACUGGUCAGUGUUCUAUCAGAAUCGCUGUGUCCUUUUACACUGUUGCCAUCUGUAUGUGUGUCAGAAUGCCAGCACUCAGGACAUUACAGAUCUACUUGGAGAACUUGUCCUUAAGAAAAGAGAAGCACAGCCACCUGGCCGAACCGGCAGGCAAGUGGACUCUGACACAAGCCAAGAAAACCAGACAGAGAGUCGAGCAACGGUGCCACCUUCACCAUCAGCUCAAGUAAGGACCGUAAUGACAGGUCCCAGAACGACCCCACCAGCAGUAAUUAAAGCCACCACCACCCAAUCCACCAAGGGAACCCCAGGUGAGAUAAGUACAACUGCUCCAUCAGCCACAGGUAAUGAAACUGCAGAGCUCCUUGGGGUUCUGACAGGUAAUUCUGCUAUCCUUACCAGCACCAUGUCUCCAGCUGCCUCUUCUCUCGUUUCAAAUAAUGAUACUUCUAGCUCCACGCCCACAGCCACCUUUGAAAAGACAAGUAAGAAGGUGUUCACUUCAGGAACUACAAAGGCACCAGCGCCCUUGUCUCAAACUACUAUUGCGACUUCUGAAUCGAAAGUGAGGACUGUAGUGUCCCAGACAGAGCAUUCCAGUGUAACCGUUGCCUCCCGGUUGCCUUGGGAUGCCACACGCAGCACUCCCACGCCUAGCAUAGUUAAUAGUGUGGGGGUUGGCCUACUGACAACAAGCUUAUCUAUAGCGACAACCACCGACAGCCUACCGGACUUGAAAACACAUUCACCAGAUUCUGCAGUCACCAAUCCAUCUUCAGAGAGUGCCAGUCCCAUAAUGCCAACAAUCAAAGCUACUUCAUCAGCUCUUGAGCCCCUGACAACUACAGUGGACAGGCCCCAGAAUAUCACGGGUAAGCCAUCUCCUACUAUCCCAGUCCGAGCAAAGACUUCAGCAACUAACCAGCCAAUGACAAAGGCCACCAGUGGGCCUGGGGUGAUAACAACAUAUAGUACUUCCUUGACUAAGCUUACCACCAUGGGUCCAACAAAUGCACCCAAAACAACAGCCUUGGGCAUUGGCAGAGGUCAGCAAAACACAGACUAUGACAAUCUGCUGAUUGCCACUGGGCCUCUGACUCGGUACUUGGUGGACACCAGUUCACUCCUGGCAGUACUUCUAUUUGGUAUCAUUUUUUUCAUAACCGUCUUAGUUCUAUUUGCCAUGCAGGCCUAUGAAAGCUAUAAGAAAAAGGACUAUACGCAAGUGGACUACUUAAUCAAUGGAAUGUAUGCGGACUCAGAAAUGUGAGAGGCAGGGGUGCUGAGAGAGGCUUAAAUACGUAUCAAGGAGAUGGAAAGCCUGUGACUUGUUCUUUCCCUUGUUUGCUUAUAAGACAAACUGAAAGUGCUUCCAAAUUACUUCUGGUGCAAUUUAGGAGAAAUGCCAUGUAUUCUAUAAAUUUUUUUAUCAACUGUAACAGGUUGCCAUAAGAGCGGUAGUGAUUUCUAGAACUCUUCCAACUGUGCUUCUGCCAAUGAUUUUUGCAUUGUAAAAUGAAGCUACUGGGAUGAGCCAUCGCCCUCUGAGAAUGAUCCUUCGGGUUCAAAACACAUCAGCACAUACAAUCAGGCUAGAAGGGAUCAUCAUGAUGAUCUAGUCUGAUCUACUGUGUAACACAAGUGCGCACACAAAGCCCAAAACAUUCGGUAAUUUCUGCAUGGAGCCCAUAACUUCUGUUUCAGCUAUAGAAUAUCUUUUGGACAUCCCGUCUUGAUUUAAAGCAAUGGCAAAUUGACUACACCUCUUAGCACGAGAAACAACAGAGACUUAAGCAGAAGAAUUAGUAUGUUGCCAGGACAAACGUCAGGUCCUACAGCACUUGAGGUUCCAGUGCUCCAGCAACUGUGUUUAGCUGGAAGCAAAGUAGCAGUGGGCUUGUUGACUUGAAAGCCUGGCAGCUAAGGUUGGAAAAGACUCAGGAAUCUCCAUACCUUAUUGUAACUGAAUGUGCUACCUUUAACUGGCUGUACCUGGAACCCUUAACAAGGCUUAUACUGGCUCGGGAGAAGAGGGUGGAGGAUGAGACCUGAUGAGGAUGGCUGUUGCUAACAGAUGAGGGAAGAUCAGUCUCCUCAGCCCAUCACACAGUUUUACCUGGAGCUCCCAGCCAAAGAUGGGAGGGGAAAUUGAGACAAAGUGGCUUACCCAAGGUCGCACAGCCAGUAAUUGGCAGCUAGGAAUAGAAUCCAGAUGUCUCAACCCUGCCUGUUGGACCAUAUAGCAUCUAAAUGGUGAUGCCUUCACAAAGAACAUGGAAACUGCUUGGAAGAAGCUUGGCUUGAAGACACUUUUUAUAAAAUAUUUAUAUUAAAAUAAAUAUAUUCCUACCUGUGUUUCACUGGGGUUUCAGGUGAUGACUAGAGCUAGUGAAAAAUUGUCCAACAGGACAUGUUGAUUCAUCAGGAUCAAAAUGUUCUGCGGGCACUUGGUGAAAGCUGAAAGUUUUACUGAAUUCUGUUGUAAGUUUUGAUGGAAAGCAGGCAGGUUGGCCAACUCGCCUGUGUGGUCCCCUGCCCACUGGGAGAACUCUCCAGGCUCCCACCUUCCCAGCAGCCACAGCCAUAACCAGCGUGAGCAGGACAGUCCCCCAGGAUGCAAAGCCGUGAGGGCGGAAAAAGGGAGUGGAGAAAUGAAGGGGAAAAUGGUAGGGGGCACAAAUAUGGCUGCUCCCCUCGGGUGCUAAAAUGCCCUAGUUAUGGCUAUGCCAGCAGCCCUGGGAAUCCAAUGUUUAAGGAAAUGGCUUGACUAUUAUAAGCCUCAUUAACAUGAUCUUCAUAUUUCUCCUGAAUCACAUGCAGCCCUGGUUUCUAUUUAUAGCAUAACAUAGAACUGUUAAGUUGAUCUGAUAACAUUUGUUAAAACCACAUGUAUUUGAACCAGAGUGGGAACUGGAGCUCUGGUAGGCGGCUUUCCGCUUGGGGAUCACCCAGAAGCAGUAUCCAGUGGGACAUUCCAUGCAUUUCGUGAGCUGGAAACCACAAUGCUUCCAUCAAUGUGUGUGGGACCGAAGAGCGAGAAGUUCUCUUCAGAUGUUCGCAGUGGCUGCAUGUUUGGACUGAGGGGCUUUUGUGAAAUGUCAGGCUGCUACAGAAAGCUCUGUUAGAUUAUGCAACAGUGUCCUGAGGGAAGUGGUGGAAACCUCAUGGGUCUUUGAAAGCUAGAUAAAACACAUUAUAAGGACUGUACUGCCUUACAGGGGGAUGGAUUGGAAUGACCUGAGGACCUUUAAACUUCUAUGAAAGGAAACUGUGACAAAAUGAACAGGAAAGAGCUGUUUGUAAGGUU
Non-coding RNA from Caretta caretta (loggerhead turtle), 3721 nucleotides. The record is from RefSeq and is a predicted model, not a curated record. Lineage: Eukaryota; Metazoa; Chordata; Testudines; Cheloniidae.